This 300-nucleotide unclassified non-coding RNA is filed under the name plant metagenome. Its description in RNAcentral is "partial contains 5.8S ribosomal RNA, internal transcribed spacer 2, and large subunit ribosomal RNA". The stretch from base 1 to 105 matches the Rfam family "5.8S ribosomal RNA", at positions 50 to 154 of the family's 154-position model. The record is from RNAcentral.
GAAAUGCGAUAAGUAAUGUGAAUUGCAGAAUUCAGUGAAUCAUCGAAUCUUUGAACGCACAUUGCGCCCCCUGGCAUUCCGGGGGGCAUGCCUGUUCGAGCGUCAUUACACCACUCAAGCCUGGCUUGGUAUUGAGCGCCGCGGCCUGCCCGCGCGCUCCAAUGUCUCCGGCUGAGCCGUCCGUCUCUAAGCGUUGUGAAUAGCGAUCGCUUGCGAGGCCCGGGCGGUUCGACGCCGUUAAACCCCCCCAUUUUCUAUGGUUGACCUCGGAUCAGGUAGGGAUACCCGCUGAACUUAAGC